GUGCUUACUUCAGCACAUAUACUAAAAUUGAAAAGAUACAGAGAUUAGCACAGCCUGUGCAAGGAUGACACACAAACUUACGAAAAAAGACCCUGGGUU
This is a small nuclear RNA of Nannospalax galili (Upper Galilee mountains blind mole rat), 99 nucleotides long. The record is from Ensembl. Lineage: Eukaryota; Metazoa; Chordata; Mammalia; Rodentia; Spalacidae.